RNAcentral lists this ribosomal RNA (1029 nucleotides) under Nocardioides marmotae. Its description in RNAcentral is "partial 23S ribosomal RNA". It matches the Rfam family "Bacterial large subunit ribosomal RNA", at positions 1897 to 2925 of the family's 2925-position model. The record is from RNAcentral. RNAcentral also lists the same sequence under 1 other name. Lineage: Bacteria; Bacillati; Actinomycetota; Actinomycetes; Propionibacteriales; Nocardioidaceae.
GUUCGAAGCGGAGAACUUAAGCCCCAGUAAACGGCGGUGGUAACUAUAACCAUCCUAAGGUAGCGAAAUUCCUUGUCGGGUAAGUUCCGACCUGCACGAAUGGAGUAACGACUUGGGCGCUGUCUCAACCGUGGACUCGGCGAAAUUGCACUACGAGUAAAGAUGCUCGUUACGCGCGGCAGGACGGAAAGACCCCGGGACCUUUACUAUAGUUUGGUAUUGGUGUUUGGUUCGGCUUGUGUAGGAUAGGUGGGAGACUGUGAAGCAUUCACGCCAGUGGGUGUGGAGUCAUCGUUGAAAUACCACUCUGGUCGUACUAGAUGUCUAACCUAGGUCCGUAAUCCGGAUCAGGGACAGUGCCUGAUGGGUAGUUUAACUGGGGCGGUUGCCUCCUAAAAUGUAACGGAGGCGCUCAAAGGUUCCCUCAGCCUGGUUGGCAAUCAGGUGGCGAGUGUAAGUGCACAAGGGAGCUUGACUGUGAGACAGACAUGUCGAGCAGGGACGAAAGUCGGAACUAGUGAUCCGGCCACGGCAUGUGGAAGCGUGGUCGCUCAACGGAUAAAAGGUACCCCGGGGAUAACAGGCUGAUCUUCCCCAAGAGUCCAUAUCGACGGGAUGGUUUGGCACCUCGAUGUCGGCUCGUCGCAUCCUGGGGCUGGAGCAGGUCCCAAGGGUUGGGCUGUUCGCCCAUUAAAGCGGCACGCGAGCUGGGUUUAGAACGUCGUGAGACAGUUCGGUCCCUAUCCGCCGCGCGCGCAGGAAACUUGAGAAAGGCUGUCCCUAGUACGAGAGGACCGGGAUGGACGAACCUCUGGUGUGCCAGUUGUCCCGCCAGGGGCACGGCUGGUUAGCUACGUUCGGAAGUGAUAACCGCUGAAUGCAUCUAAGCGGGAAGCACGUUUCAAGAUGAGGUUUCCCACCACGUUAAGUGGGUAAGGCCCCCAGCAGAACACUGGGUUGAUAGGCCGGAGGUGUACAGCAGUAAUGCCUAGCCGACCGGUACUAAUAGGCCGAGGGCUUGUCCCACAA